Molecule: long non-coding RNA, 800 nt
Organism: Physeter macrocephalus (sperm whale)
Lineage: Eukaryota; Metazoa; Chordata; Mammalia; Artiodactyla; Physeteridae
Exons: 3
Source: RefSeq, a predicted model, not a curated record
AUUACCACAGUGUCCUACUUUGGACUUUGAGGGAAUCUGCAGCCUGUGAAAAUUGAAGACACAAUCGAAUUGCUAAUUAAAAAAUGGAACCAGUUCAAUUCUGUAAUCCUCUAAGAGUGGGUUUUAAACUCUGAAGUAGUAUUAAUCUAAUUUUCUAGACUGCUUAUCAAGAAAACUCCAUUUCUCUGCAGACAGCCUCCUCCAAGACCUUUGGAUUGAUGAGCAGCUGCCUGAGUGUUGAGCAAUGAGAAUACCAGUGCUGUAUUCUAUAACUACGGCUACUGGGAGAUAUGAAGAACCGUAGGAAGUACCUAGAAAACAGAAGAGAAGGCAGCAGGGUCCCCAUGAUAAUCAUUUUCUUCAUGGCAAUAGACCUCCUUUGACUUGGAUCUGGAGUGGCAUUGGUGUUUCAUGGAAGGAGCAGAGAAGUUCUUGCCUUUCGUGUGUCCUUGUUCAUUGUUUAUGAAAUGGCUCAUGAUGGAGCUGUGCUCCACUCCUAGCUCUCAGCAAAUGGUGAAGAAAGUGAAGUUUGAUUUCCAUAUGGAGAGUGUCCAAUAUGUUCCAUUUUAACCCAUGCCUCAACAUCUCCUGCUCUAUGGUUAAUGCUCUUAUGUUCUUAUUUACUAUGUUAAUAUUAUUAUUAUAUAUUAGUAUAUUUUGUCUAAUAAUUAUUGAAAGUAUUAAGAGUAAGUAAAUUUUUAAAAGUUCUUAAAAGUAACAUUUUGAUAUGAAUAAUGUAAAUAUAAGCCAAUGUGUGUUUUUUAUAAUUAAAAGAAUACUAUUUAUUAUGUAUUUAAAUU